GGGGACCGCGGGGAGAGCGCGGAAGGACCCCCGGACGGCAGGG
RNAcentral lists this ribosomal RNA (43 nucleotides) under Giardia duodenalis. RNAcentral's name for it is "Giardia intestinalis large subunit ribosomal RNA". The record is from RNAcentral. Lineage: Eukaryota; Fornicata; Diplomonadida; Hexamitidae.